RNAcentral lists this ribosomal RNA (253 nucleotides) under uncultured bacterium. Its description in RNAcentral is "partial 16S ribosomal RNA". It matches the Rfam family "Bacterial small subunit ribosomal RNA", at positions 524 to 776 of the family's 1533-position model. The record is from RNAcentral.
UACGGAGGGAGCUAGCGUUGUUCGGAAUUACUGGGCGUAAAGCGCGCGUAGGCGGCCUUGCAAGUUAGAGGUGAAAGCCCGGAGCUCAACUCCGGAACUGCCUUUAAAACUGCAUCGCUUGAAUCCAGGAGAGGUGAGUGGAAUUCCGAGUGUAGAGGUGAAAUUCGUAGAUAUUCGGAAGAACACCAGUGGCGAAGGCGGCUCACUGGACUGGUAUUGACGCUGAGGUGCGAAAGCGUGGGGAGCAAACAGG